RNA transcript from Heterocephalus glaber (naked mole-rat), 6314 nucleotides. It is a transcript of the gene named family with sequence similarity 184 member A, with no coding region annotated. Lineage: Eukaryota; Metazoa; Chordata; Mammalia; Rodentia; Bathyergidae. The record is from RefSeq and is a predicted model, not a curated record.
GGGUCGGACCGCGGGCCGACGCGCUGCCCGCGCCGGCGUCCGCCUCGCGCUCGUCCGUCCACAGGGACCGGGGGCCGCGGGAAGAUGGCGACCCCGGGCGCGGGCUGGCAGCCCCACCUCGGCCUGGAGCUCGGCGCCGACGUGCACCUGCGGAUGAGCAAGAAGAUCGCGCAGCUCACCAAGGUCAUAUAUGCUUUGAACACUAAAAAUGAUGAGCAUGAAUCUGCUAUUCAAGCCCUCAAAGAUGCUCAUGAGGAAGAAAUCCAACAAAUUCUUGCAGAAACAAGAGAAAAAAUACUACAGUAUAAAAGCAAAGUAACAGAGGAGCUAGACCUGAAGAGGAAGAUCCAAGUUUUAGAGGCAUCCUUGGAAGAUCACAUAAAAAUGAAGCAACAGGCUUUGACAGAAUUUGAAGCCUAUAAGCACAGAGUUGAGGACAUGCAACUCUGUGCAGAAGCCCAGCAUGUCCAGCGCAUAGUGACCAUGUCCAGAGAGGUCGAGGAGAUCAGAAGGAAGUUUGAAGAAAGGUUACGGAGCUUUGGACAGCUCCAGGUGCAGUUUGAGAAAGACAAGCGGUGUGCGCUGGAAGAUCUUCGGACUGCUCACUGCCGGGAGAUGCAGGAGCUGCUGAAAUCACAGCAGGAUCACAGUGCUUCAGUGAGCAAAGGGCAAGAGAAGGCAGAGGAGCUGCACAGGAGGGAGGUGGAGGCCUUAAACAAAACACUAGAGGAGCUCAGACUUGAAAAGAAAAGGCUCACUGAGGAGUAUGAAGGCAAGUUGAAUAAAGCGCAGUGCUUUUAUGAGCGUGAGCUUGAUACUUUGAAAAGGUCACAGCUUUUUACAGCAGAAAGCCUACAGGCUAGCAAAGAAAAGGAAGCUGAUCUUCGGAAAGAAUUUCAGGGACAGGAAGCAAUUUUACGAAAAACCAUAGGAAAAUUAAAAACAGAGUUACAGAUGGUCCAGGACGAAGCCAGCAGCCUUCUUGACAAAUGCCAGAGGCUUCAGACGGCCCUCGCCACGGCAGAGAGCAAUGCUCAGGUUCUUCAAAAACAGCUUGAUGAUGCCAAGGAGGGAGAAAUGGCCUUAUUAAGCAAGCACAAAGAGGUGGAAAGUGAACUAGCAGCUGCUAGAGAACGUUUACAACAGCAAGCAUCAGACCUUGUCCUCAAAGCCAGUCAUAUUGGAAUGCUUCAAGCAACUCAGAUGACCCAGGAGGUUACAAUCAAAGAUUUAGAAUCAGAAAAAUCAAGGGCCUAUGAAAGAUUGUCUCAGCUUGAAGAAGAAAGAGCUUUCUUGCAGAGCAGAAAUGAAAGUCUGGAUGAAGAGCAGAAGCAACAGACCCUGGAGCUGGAGAAGAAAGUACAUGAAGCAAAGAGAACUCAGCAAGAAUAUUAUGAAAUGGAGCUUAAAAACCUGCAAAAUAGAUUGGAAGGGGAGGUGACUCAACUAAAUGAAGCCCAUUCAAAGACUCUGGAGGAAUUAGCCUGGAAGCACCACAUGGCGAUUGAGGCUGUCCAUAGCAAUGCAGUUCGAGACAAGAAGAAGCUGCAAGUGGAAUUGGAGGAACAGUAUGAGAAGGAGAAGCUGGCCCUGGAAGAGGAUAAGCAUCAGCUUCAGCGAGAGCUGGAAGACCUGAAGGAGGAGCUGGAGGACAAGAUGUGCGCGGCCACCCAGGAGAUCGGCUGCCUCCGGGACCUGGUGCGGAAGAGCGAGCAGGGUCUAGGCUCGGCUGAGGGCCUCAUCUCCAGGCUCCAGGACUCUCAGGAGAGGCUGCAGAGCGAGCGCGACGCCACCAAAGGCAGGCUCAGGGACACCAGGGACGCGCUGUGGAGUGUGGAGGCUGAGCUGGAGCAAGAGAGGCACCAGCAUGAGGAAGCACUUGCUGCCAUGAAGGAAGAGGAGAAGCUCAGAGUGGACAGGAUGGCCCACGACUUGGAGAUAAAGUGGACUGAAAAUCUUAGACAAGAGUGCUGUAAACUUCGUGAAGAGUUACGGCUUCAGCAUGAAGAGGAUAAGUCAGCAAUGUCUCAGCUGCUGCAGUUAAAAGAGCGAGAGAAAAAUGCCGCCAGGGACUCGUGGCAGAAGAAAGUGGAAGAUCUCCUAAACCAGAUUUCCCUGCUGAAGCAAAAUCUGGAGAUGCAGCUUUCCCAGUCUCAGACUUCCUUGCAGCAGCUGCAAGCCCAGUUUACCCAAGAACGCCAGCAACUUACACAGGAGCUUGAGGAGUUAGAGGAACAACAUCAGCAAAGACAUAAAUCCUUGGAAGAAGCCCAUGUCCUUGCAUUUCAGACCAUGGAAGAGGAAAAAGAAAAAGAACAAAGAGCCCUUGAAAACCACUUAGAGCAGAAGCACUCUGCAGAGCUGCAGGCCCUGAAGGACGCGCACCGGGAGUCCAUGGAGGGCUUCCGGGCAGAGAUGGAGCAGGAGCUGCAGACUCUGCGCUUCGAGCUGGAAGACGAAGGGAAGGCCAUGCUUGCUUCCUUACGCUCAGAACUUAACCGUGAGCACGCAGCUGCAGUGGACUUGUUACGGCAUAACCACCACCAGGAGCUAGCAGCUGCCGAGAUGGAGUUGGACAGGAGCGUGGACAUUGGCAGAAGACAGAGCAAGGAGCAUAUGUGUAGAAUAACAGAUCUGCAAGAGGAGUUACGGCUCAGAGAGCACCACAUCUCCGACCUGGACAAGGAGGUACAGCACCUUCAUGAGAACAUAAGCGCCCUCACCAAAGAGUUGGAAUUUAAGGGGAAAGAAAUCCUGAGGAUACGAAGUGAAUCUAACCAGCAGAUGAGGUUGCAUGAACAAGAUUUAAACAAGAGGCUUGAAAAAGAGCUGGAUGUCAUGACAGCAGACCACCUCAGAGAGAAAAAUAUCAUGCGGGCGGAUUUUAAUAAGACUAAUGAGCUCCUCAAGGAAAUAAAUGCAGCUUUACAAGUGUCACUAGAAGAAAUGGAAGAAAAAUAUCUAAAGAGAGAAUCGAAACCGGAAGAUAUACAGAUGAUUGCAGAAUUAAGAGCCAUGCUUACAGAAAGAGACCAGGUCAUAAAGAAACUAAUUGAGGAUAAUAAAUUUUAUCAACUGGAAUUAGUCAAUCGAGAAACUAACUUCAACAAAGUGUUUAACUCGAGUCCUACUGUUGGUGUUAUUAAUCCACUGACCAAGCAAAAGAAGAAGAAUGAUAAAUCACCAACAAACAGGUUUGUGAGUGUUCCCAACCUAAGUGCUCUGGAAUCUGGUGGAGUGGGCAAUGGACAUCCUAACCGCCUGGACCCCAUUCCUAAUUCUCCAGUCCACGAUGUUGAGUUCAACAGCAGCAAACCACUUCCACAGCCAGUGCCACCCAAAGAGUCCAAGACAUUUUUGAGUCCUCCUCAGGGUGAAGCUUCUCCGGCGGCUUCUCCAGACACCCAGCGCCAGGAGUGGUUUGCCCGCUACUUCACCUUCUGAAGGAGCUGUGCUGGCCCUGCUGUGUGCUCUCCUCUGAGGGCAUCGGCAGGCUGUCCUGCGUCAGGCGCUGUGAACGACUUGGAAUACUUAUGUCUCUCUGGCUUGGAUGAACGCACUGUAUUUCCUGUGAUAUUUAUUGGAAUCACUCUAUAAGUACCUUCGAUGGAGACACCAGAACACCCACCACACAAUCCCAGCCUCUGCGACUGGUAAAGCUUGCAACCUGUGCUCUUCCCAUUAUGCCGUGAAAGGACAGGAACCCUUAGUGAGGAAAUGAACCUGAUUCUUCACCAUGUUUAGCAGGUCAUACAAUGAUGAGAUUUCGGUUGUAGGAAGUUGGCUGCAGUUGGUUCAGAAGAGAUGGAUGGGAACUGACUACAGCAAGACUUGGAGUGCCUGACUGAGUUGGUUCAGAUGAAGACUAAACUGAAAAGACGUCUGUGGGAAUGGAGACGAAAGAGUAGUAUGGAGACAGAACUGCUGGGAGCUGGUGACAAAUACAUGGAACACAAAGGGCAGACAUGGACAAGGGUGAAGUUUCAGUUCAGAAACGCUGGAAUUAAAGUUUCUCUGUAAUAAUUAAUAGGCCUCUAAACAAGGAGCCAGAGCUCAGAAAACUGUCUGAGCUGGAGCUGUUGAGGGAGACGUUGGCCUUUAAGUCAUUCAGGACUUGCAUGAGAAUGGAAGGCAGUGACAGCUGCAGAAAAGCAGAGUACUGGAAGAACAAAGUGUCACAGACAGACAGAGACUCAGAGACAGACAGACAAGAGACAGAGGCAGGCAGGCACCACAGGUAUAAAGAUGUGGAAAAAAUGAACCAGAAAAUAAUCUUCGCAAGAACAGAUCCAGGGCAGCAGUAGCACCAAAAGCCAGACUCCAGGAGAGAGGCAAAGGGGAGCUGAGGACACCAGGACAGUGGUGAAAACCAUCUUGAAGGAAGCAGCUAUCCUGGGAGCCAGGAGAGAUUGGUUUUUGCUUCUAUAGAAGUCUCGUGUGCGAGUCAUGCUGCCCUUAGCUGCGCUCCUGUCCUGCCAUCCAAGACGUCACAGCGUGCAGGAUCAUUGAGGCCUCCGCUGUGACCAGGGCUGGGCAGUUGAUCCUUUCCCACACACCAACUGCUGGCUCUUCGGGCACGCCACUGGGGACCAAUAGGCAGACUCGGACUUUUAGUAUGAAAAGCCAGCUUAUGAAUCUGCAGCUCGCUCAGGGUGGUCUCCAUCUCUCGGAUAAUCCCAGGAAUAUAUUAUCUAUCUUAUUUUCUGAAUGUAGUUUAAUUUUUUUUUUUUUUUUUUUUGGUGCCAGGGAUCAAGCUCAGGACCUUGCGCUUGUGAGGCAGGCGCGGUACCACUGAGUUAAAUCCCCAGCCCUAAUUUUAAUAAUAUAAUUUUAAUGUACUUUCAGUAGCAGUGAAAAACUGUUUAAGAUAGAAUACAGACCAAAUUGCAUACAGUGGUGCACACCUGUAAUCCCAGCACUCAGGAGGCUGAGGCAGGAGGACAUGAGUUCAAGGCCAGGCUGGGCUGCAUAGCUAGUUCAAGGCCAGCCUAGAGUUCAUACCGAGACCCCGUCUCAACUCUUCUCCUCUGCAGAAAGAGAACAGACCACCCAGAAACAGACUCUCCCAUAUCUGUCAAAUGAUUUUCAAGAAGGGUGACCACACCAUUUAGCCGGGAAAGGAUAAUCUUUAACAAAUGGUGCUUGGUCAACUGGAUAGACACAUGCAGAAGAAUGAAGCUGGACCCAUACCUUACACUCUACACAAAAGUCAAUUCAGAAUGGAUCAAAGAUCUGAAUGUAAUAGCUAAAAUGAUCAAGUUCUUAGAAGAAAAAAAUGAGAUAAAACCUUUAUGAUGUUGGAUAUGAUACCAGAAGCACCGACAACAAAAAGAUUAAUAAAUUGUAGUUCAUAAAAACUUAAAACUUCUGUGUAUCAAAGGACACUGUCAGCAGGGUGAAAAAGACGACCCAGAAAAUGGGAGAAAAUAUUUGCAAAGCAUAUAUGUGAUAAAGGAUUAACACCCAGAACAUAAAAGAAUUUCUAAAAGUUAGCAACAAUAGAAAGCCAAUUCAAAAGAGGGCAAAGGACUUGAAUAAUUUCUGCAAAGAAGACCUACAGAUGGCCACUAAGUCAAUGAAAAGAUGUCUGUGAAGAGAAGUUUGGUGUCACCAGUUACUCAGGAAAUGGAGUCAAACCACAAUGAAACAGUACACACCACACCCAUUCCAAUAGCUUUUGUUUCUAAAAAUGAAAAGCAUUGGCAAGGAUGAGAAAUCAGUGCAUUGCUAGUACAAAUGUGAAAUGGCAAAGCCCCUGUGGAAAAGUCUGGCAGUUCUUCAAAAAGCCAAGCAUAGAAUUACCAUCUGAUCAAGCAUUUUCACUUCUUUGUAUACGUAUAUGCUCAGUAGAAUACACAGCAGAGACUCAGCACUUCUUUCUUUUACAUCAGUGGCCUCAGGAGUAUUAUUCACAAUAACCAAAAGACAAGCUGGGCAUGGUGGCACAGGCCUAUAAUCCCAGCACUUGGGAGGCUGAGGCAGGAGGAUCACUGCAAGUUUAAGGCCAGCCUGGGCUAAACAGUAAAUUCAAGUCCAGCCACAACUACAUAGCAAGACCCUGUCUAAAAAAGCAAACCCCCAAGAGGUGGAAACACAAAUGUCUUAUUGACAGUUGAAUGGAUAAGCAAAAUGUGACGUAUACAUACAAUAGAACAUUACUGAGCCUUCAAAAAGUGACUACUGGAAGGGUGCACAGGCAAUGGGGAAAAAAUAAGAACCAAGAUACAUCAUAUACAGGACAAGCACCCAAUGAUAAAUGUAAACGUGUUGUAUACCUAAAAUGUACCAAUAAAAGAAUUUAAGCAAAAAAAUAA